Mandrillus leucophaeus (drill) is the source of this 667-nucleotide long non-coding RNA. RefSeq lists it as uncharacterized. The transcript has 3 exons. The record is from RefSeq and is a predicted model, not a curated record. Lineage: Eukaryota; Metazoa; Chordata; Mammalia; Primates; Cercopithecidae.
UUGUCCCAUCCACCACUCUGUACAGUGAUUCUGGAAUUUGCUAUUUGAUACGAGCAAAUGAAGAGAUGGAAGGGGCUGUUCACCACUCAGGCUGCAAGCAAGCCUGUCGUGCCCAUCUGCAAAGAGGACUCCUUGUGUGCCUCCAAAAUGGCCUUGUCGUUAACUUGAUCUGCUUGGACUGAUUGCAAACAGUGGCUUAGCUUCCUCUAGACCAGAGGACAUUCUGUGCUCCCAAAACAGAAUGCUACACAUGGGAACAAGGGAAAGGGAGGCUUUGAGAGGUCAGCCAGCAAGGUCCCUGCUUCAAGCCUAAAACCAGUGUAAUUAGGUGAAGAUUCAGCAGGAUAAGGCUUUGCGAGGAAUAUCCCUAGCAUGUCAAGGUGAUCGCAGCAUUGCAAGUUCUCCCCCGAGGCGCAGAGCCCAGAAGAAAUCAUCAUGGAAUGAAAAGAGUCAAGGUUGGAGCCCCCAGAGAACUUAGCAAGAAUGCCAAGUACAUCAUGCUAUCUCCUCCCGCCUCCAUGCUGGCGCAUAUGCCGCCCUUCCUCCCUGGAAUGCCCUCAUCUUCCAGAGGCUGCUCCAUUUCAGAGCCUUCCCUGAUUCAUCCAGGCAAAUUAACAGAUAAUAACUGUUUUAUCUACUAAAUAUUAAACUCUCUCAAGGCAGGGUC